GUGUCAGCAGCCGCGGUAAGACGAACCGUCCAAACGUUAUUCGGUAUCACUGGGCUUAAAGCGUGCGUAGGCGGCCUGGUAGGUGAGAUGUGAAAGCCCACGGCUCAACCGUGGAAUUGCGUUUCAAACCACCAGGCUUGAGGAUGGCAGGGGUGAUGGGAACUGAUGGUGGAGCGGUGAAAUGCGUUGAUAUCAUCAGGAACACCGGUGGCGAAGGCGCAUCACUGGGCCAUUUCUGACGCUGAGGCACGAAAGCUAGGGUAGCGAACGGGAUUAGAUACCCCGGUAGUCCUAGCUGUAAACGAUGAGCACUGGGUUGAGGGGACUUCCACAUCUUCUCGGCCGUAGCGAAAGCGUUAAGUGCUCCGCCUGGGGAGUAUGGCCGCAAGGCUGAA
This 395-nucleotide ribosomal RNA is filed under the name uncultured bacterium. RNAcentral's name for it is "bacterial SSU rRNA". It matches the Rfam family "Bacterial small subunit ribosomal RNA", at positions 505 to 898 of the family's 1533-position model. The record is from RNAcentral.